Molecule: non-coding RNA, 29 nt
Filed under: Homo sapiens (human)
Lineage: Eukaryota; Metazoa; Chordata; Mammalia; Primates; Hominidae
Source: RNAcentral
UAGGGAUUUUGGAUAUUCUUGGUGUGACA